This 468-nucleotide ribosomal RNA is filed under the name uncultured bacterium. RNAcentral's name for it is "partial 16S ribosomal RNA". It matches the Rfam family "Bacterial small subunit ribosomal RNA", at positions 28 to 507 of the family's 1533-position model. The record is from RNAcentral.
GACGAAAGAGGGAGGCGUGCUUAACACAUGCAAGUCGAACGGAAAGGCCCUGCUUUUGUGGGGUGCUCGAGUGGCGAACGGGUGAGUAACACGUGAGUAACCUGUCCUUGACUUUGGGAUAACUUCAGGAAACUGGGGCUCAUACCGGAUAGGAGCUCCUGCUGCAUGGUGGGGGUUGGAAAGUUUCGGCGGUUGGGGAUGGACUCGCGGCUUAUCAGCUUGUUGGUGGGGUAGUGGCUUACCAAGGCUUUGACGGGUAGCCGGCCUGAGAGGGUGACCGGCCACAUUGGGACUGAGAUACGGCCCAGACUCCUACGGGAGGCAGCAGUGGAGAAUAUUGCACAAUGGGCGGAAGCCUGAUGCAGCAACGCCACGUGCGGGAUGACGGCCUUCGGUUUGUAAACCGCUUUCGCCUGUGACGAAGCGUGAGUGACGGUAAUGGGUAAAGAAGCACCGGCUAACUACGUG